RNAcentral lists this ribosomal RNA (433 nucleotides) under uncultured bacterium. Its description in RNAcentral is "partial 16S ribosomal RNA". It matches the Rfam family "Bacterial small subunit ribosomal RNA", at positions 29 to 507 of the family's 1533-position model. The record is from RNAcentral.
AACGAACGCUGGCGGCAUGCCUAACACAUGCAAGUCGAACGAGACCUUCGGGUCUAGUGGCGCACGGGUGCGUAACGCGUGGGAACCUGCCCUUAGGUUCGGAAUAACUCCCCGAAAGGGGUGCUAAUACCGGAUAAUUUCUUCGGACCAAAGAUUUAUCGCCUUUGGAUGGGCCCGCGUUGGAUUAGCUAUUUGGUAGGGUAAAAGCCUACCAAGGCGACGAUCCAUAGCUGGUCUGAGAGGAUGAUCAGCCACACUGGGACUGAGACACGGCCCAGACUCCUACGGGAGGCAGCAGUGGGGAAUAUUGGACAAUGGGCGAAAGCCUGAUCCAGCAAUGCCGCGUGAGUGAUGAAGGCCUUAGGGUUGUAAAGCUCUUUUACCCGGGAUGAUAAUGACAGUACCGGGAGAAUAAGCUCCGGCUAACUCCGUG